ACGGGGACCCGCACAAGCAGCGGAGCGUGUGGUUUAAUUCGAUGCUACACGAAGAACCUUUACCAGGGUUUGACAUGCAAGUGGUAGGAAUCUGAAAAGUGACCGACCUUCGGGAAGCUUGCACAGGUGCUGCAUGGCUGUCGUCAGCUCGUGUCGUGAGAUGUUCGGUUAAGUCCGCUAACGAGCGCAACCCUCGUCGUAUGUUAUAUGUGUCAUACGAGACUGCCGGUAAAAGCCGGAGGAAGGUGAGGAUGAUGUCAAGUCAGCAUGACCUUUAUAUCCAGGGCUACACACACGCUACAAUGGUCUGUACAAUGGGUAGCCAAGCCGCGAGGCGGAGCCAAUCCUGAAAGCAGGCCUCAGUUCAGAUUGCAGUCUGCAACUCGACUGCAUGAAGCCGGAGUUGCUAGUAACCGCAGGUCAGCAAUACUGCGGUGAAUACGUUCCCGGGUCUU
This 455-nucleotide ribosomal RNA is filed under the name uncultured Anaerolineaceae bacterium. RNAcentral describes it as "bacterial SSU rRNA". It matches the Rfam family "Bacterial small subunit ribosomal RNA", at positions 913 to 1382 of the family's 1533-position model. Lineage: Bacteria; Bacillati; Chloroflexota; Anaerolineae; Anaerolineales; Anaerolineaceae. The record is from RNAcentral.